CCUACGGGUGGCUGCAGUGGGGAAUAUUGGACAAUGGGGGCAACCCUGGUCCAGCCAUGCCGCGGGUGUGAAGAAGGCCCUCGGGUUGUAAAGCACUUUCAGUGAGGAAGAACGCCUGGUGGUUAAUACCCAUCAGGAAAGACAUCACUCACAGAAGAAGCACCGGCUAACUCCGUGCCAGCAGCCGCGGUAAUACGGAGGGUGCGAGCGUUAAUCGGAAUUACUGGGCGUAAAGCGCGCGUAGGUGGCUUGAUAAGCCGGUUGUGAAAGCCCCGGGCUCAACCUGGGAACGGCAUCCGGAACUGUCAAGCUAGAGUGCAGGAGAGGAAGGUAGAAUUCCCGGUGUAGCGGUGAAAUGCGUAGAGAUCGGGAGGAAUACCAGUGGCGAAGGCGGCCUUCUGGACUGACACUGACACUGAGGUGCGAAAGCGUGGGUAGCAAACAGGAUUAGAUACCCCUGUAGUC
This 465-nucleotide ribosomal RNA is filed under the name Vreelandella stevensii. RNAcentral's name for it is "partial 16S ribosomal RNA". It matches the Rfam family "Bacterial small subunit ribosomal RNA", at positions 338 to 795 of the family's 1533-position model. Lineage: Bacteria; Pseudomonadati; Pseudomonadota; Gammaproteobacteria; Oceanospirillales; Halomonadaceae. The record is from RNAcentral.